CCUACGGGUGGCAGCAGUGAGGAAUAUUGGUCAAUGGACGCAAGUCUGAACCAGCCAUGCCGCGUGCAGGAAGACGGCCCUAUGAGUUGUAAACUGCUUUUGUACGAGGGUAAAUCCCGAUACGUGUAUCGGGUUGAAAGUAUCGUACGAAUAAGGAUCGGCCAACCCCGUGCCAGAAGCCGCGGUAAUACGGAGGAUUCAGGCGUGGUCCGGAUUUAUUGGGUUUAAAGGGUGGGUAGGGGGUUCUGUAAGGUAGAGGGGAAAUCCCGGGGGUCAACUCCGGCAAUGCCUUGGAUACUGGCGGGAUAGAGUAUACUAGAGGUAGGCGGAAUGUAUGGUGUAGCGGUGAAAUGCAUAGAGAUCAGGCAGAACACCGAUUGCGAAGGCAGCAUACC
RNAcentral lists this ribosomal RNA (395 nucleotides) under uncultured bacterium. RNAcentral describes it as "partial 16S ribosomal RNA". It matches the Rfam family "Bacterial small subunit ribosomal RNA", at positions 338 to 730 of the family's 1533-position model. The record is from RNAcentral.